This 467-nucleotide ribosomal RNA is filed under the name uncultured bacterium. RNAcentral's name for it is "partial 16S ribosomal RNA". It matches the Rfam family "Bacterial small subunit ribosomal RNA", at positions 28 to 507 of the family's 1533-position model. The record is from RNAcentral.
GAUGAACGCUGGCGGCGUGCUUAACACAUGCAAGUCGAACGGAAAGGCCCAAGCUUGCUUGGGUACUCGAGUGGCGAACGGGUGAGUAACACGUGGGUGAUCUGCCCUGCACUUCGGGAUAAGCCUGGGAAACUGGGUCUAAUACUGGAUAGGACCACUUCUUGGAUGUUGUGGUGGAAAGUUUUUUCGGUGUGGGAUGAGCUCGCGGCCUAUCAGCUUGUUGGUGGGGUAAUGGCCUACCAAGGCGUCGACGGGUAGCCGGCCUGAGAGGGUGUACGGCCACAUUGGGACUGAGAUACGGCCCAGACUCCGACGGGAGGCAGCAGUGGGGAAUAUUGCACAAUGGGCGCAAGCCUGAUGCAGCGACGCCGCGUGGGGGAUGACGGCCUUCGGGUUGUAAACUCCUUUCGCUAGGGACGAAGCGUUUUGUGACGGUACCUGGAGAAGAAGCACCGGCUAACUACGUG